UAGAAAUUUAUAAAUUAGGUAGUAAAGAAAUUUCUGAAACCUAAAGAAUAUGGCGGUGUUUUAAAUAAUUGGAGGAACCUGUUAUAUAAUUGAUAAUCCACAACAAAUCUCUCCUAAUUUUUGUUUGUAUAUCGUCGUUAUAGAUAUUAUUUAAAAGUAAUAUCAAUGUCAAUUAAAUUUUAUAAAUCAGAUCAAGAUGCAGCAUAUUUAGGAAAUAAUGGGUUACAAUAUUUUUUAAAUAUUUAUGGAUAUGGAAUAGAAAGUGAAAUUGAAGGAGGAUUCAAAAGUAAUAAAAAAUUAAUAUGUUUUUUUGACUAAUAAUUUAAAACAUGC
Molecule: ribosomal RNA, 333 nt
Filed under: Didymocentrus krausi
Lineage: Eukaryota; Metazoa; Arthropoda; Arachnida; Scorpiones; Diplocentridae
Description: partial 12S ribosomal RNA
Source: RNAcentral